AGCGAACGCUGGCGGCAGGCCUAACACAUGCCAGUCGAACGAACUCUUCGGAGUUAGUGGCGGACGGGUGAGUAACACGUGGGAACGUGCCUUUUGGUUCGGAAUAACUCAGGGGAACUUGUGCUAAUACCGAAUGUGCCCUUCGGGGGAAAGAUUUAUCGCCAUUAGAGCGGCCCGCGUCUGAUUAGCUAGUUGGUGAGGUAACGGCUCACCAAGGCGACGAUCAGUAGCUGGUCUGAGAGGAUGACCAGCCACACUGGGACUGAGACACGGCCCAGACUCCUACGGGAGGCAGCAGUGGGGAAUCUUGCGCAAUGGGCGAAAGCCUGACGCAGCCAUGCCGCGUGAAUGAUGAAGGUCUUAGGAUUGUAAAAUUCUUUCACCGGGGACGAUAAUGACGGUACCCGGAGAAGAAGCCCCGGCUAACUUCGUG
This 433-nucleotide ribosomal RNA is filed under the name uncultured bacterium. RNAcentral describes it as "partial 16S ribosomal RNA". It matches the Rfam family "Bacterial small subunit ribosomal RNA", at positions 29 to 507 of the family's 1533-position model. The record is from RNAcentral.